UCAGGCCCUUAUCGAAGCCAUGUCUGCUUACUUUCAUAGCCGAUGUGGUCAAAAAGGAGCCAAGAAUAAACUUUUUCUUUGACGGUCGCUGCUUGGGUUAAGUGCAGUACCUGAGCAGCAACAUUGGCAAGAAAAGACAGAU
This is a small nucleolar RNA of Protopterus annectens (West African lungfish), 142 nucleotides long. The record is from RefSeq and is a predicted model, not a curated record. NCBI's taxonomy places the organism in Eukaryota, Metazoa, Chordata, Ceratodontiformes, Protopteridae.